Molecule: unclassified non-coding RNA, 436 nt
Filed under: Melitaea cinxia (Glanville fritillary)
Lineage: Eukaryota; Metazoa; Arthropoda; Insecta; Lepidoptera; Nymphalidae
Description: misc RNA ENSMCXG00005010410.1
Source: RNAcentral
CACUUUAUACACCAAUUACUUUAUUAAUCUAUAAUAUAUAUAACAGCGAAAGGUCACUCACUCAUCACGAAAUCUCUGAAACUAUAACACCUACAAACUUGAAAUUUGGCAGUAAGCUGAGAACGGAUUUUACGAAACUCGACCCCUAAGGGGAUAAAACGGGGGUUGCAAGUUUGUAUGAAAGUCCUAUGUUUUUGAAGUAAGAGACUUCAAAUUUAAAAUGUAUGCUCUAUAGAUGAUGAGAAGGUGUCCAAAUAAUGUAUCUUUAGAAAUCAACUCCCUUUUGGGGUUAAAACGGGGGAUGGUAGGUUAACUCACUAAUCACGAAAUCUCCGAAACUAUAACAGCUUCAAACUUUAAAAUUUGCAGGUAGGUUUCUUAUAGGGCGUUAACAUCCGCUAAGAACUAAUUUUACGAAACUCGACCCCUAAGGGGU